GCUUUCCUCAGGCUCUAAGGCCCGCGGUGUGGAGCGCGGCGUAGGCAGCGGGGAGUGGGCGGCGCGGGGUGGGUGGAGUGGGUCGGCGGCGGGGAUCCUGCCGAGCCCGCAGCUGCCCUCUUUUAGCGCCGUGUCUCCUCCCCGGCCCUGGCUCGUCCCACCUCAGCCACAGCCCGGCCCCCUGGCCGGCCGAGGUCUCGCCGCCGGCGCCCUGGGGACCUCGUGGGUGUGGCCGGCGGCGACCUCGGCAGGCGACAGCCCAGCAGACGGGCACCAGGUGGACGUGCCAGUCUCCAGACCCCCGUCCCGGUGCAGGGAAGGUGGGCGUUUGGACCCCUGAGGCAGAAACAGGUGCGGCCCCGCCGGCGCAUCCCCCGGAAGGGACGCUGACUUCGUUCCCCUGGAGCCUGCGUCGGGGCCCGCGCUGGGCUGAGAAUUACGGGAACGCCGUGAGAGUUUGCAUUCCGAGGAUUUGGUCUGAGAACCUCACCAGCGAAAUAGAGAACUGCCCCCGGGAGAGCCGGCCCACGUGCCGCCCACCGGCGCCUUGACGGCAGGGAGAGGUCGAGCUUCCAGGGAGCGGGCGCCCGGCGCGGGGCUCCCAGCCUGUCUGUACCUGGUCGAGACACCCCGUGCCAGAGGCGGAACAUGUAUGAAAUGCCAGGUGCCCAGAGGACCCAGGCAGUCCGUCAUUCACAUACCAACCCACGUGCAGGCUUCAAUUCAACCUUGAAGCCAUUUGGGCCUGGGCUUUUUUGAUGACUUAUUUGAUUCAUAGUUUUUUGGUUACUAAUUGAGUCUCUUCACUUGUUAUAGGUCUGUUGAGAUUGUCUAUUUUUUCUUGAGUCAGCCGUCUGAAAAGAACACGAGGUGGACAGGGCAGAGCGGUCAAGGAAAGCCAUAGGAGGAGGGCACUUAUUUGAGCAAAGACCGGCGGGACGUGGGCGUCGAGGCUGCCCUAUCUAGAAGCUCCAGUACAAUAUUGACUAGAAGCAGCAAGAGUGGACAUCCUUGUCUUGCUCCUGAUUUCAGGGAGGAGGCAUCCAGUCUUUCACCUUUGGAUGGCUGUUCACUGUAUCAUCCAGGCUGGUCACCAAUUCCUGGCUUCAACUGAUCCUCCCACCUCAAGCCUCCUGAGUAGCUGGGAUCACAGGCACAAGCCACUGGACCCAGCUUUAAUUGUUUAAGUGUUUCAUAGAAUUCAUUAUUGAAGCCAUUUGGGUCUGGGCUUUUUUGAUUACUUAUUUUGAUUAUUAAUUCAAUCUCUAUUUGUUGUAGGUCUAUUCAGAUCAUCUGUUUGUGUCUUUAGAGGAAUUUGUCCGUUUUAUUUAAGUUACAGUGUUUUGGGCGUAAGCAAUUUUAAGGAGAAAGUUAUCCUUAACCAAGAUGGGAAAGGUCGAGGCAGGGUGGUACAGGGAUUUUACCUCCCACCAGGUAUCUCCCACAAACUCCCCCUAAUAUAAUACCGGCGGAGUUUGGGCUGUGGCUUUGGCUGUGUUGAGUCUCAGAUGCCUGUUGGGCCUCCUCAUGGAAACGCUGGUGGGCGAUUGGAUGAGCAAGUCACCGGCGUGGCCCAGGUUGGAGACUGGGAAUUGUCACCACAGAGAGAGCCUUUAGAGCUGUGAGACAGGAGGAGGCGCCAAGGAGCCAUUGCUCAGGUGGAGGGGAAGUCGAGGCAUGGUGCUUGGGCCUAGGGGCAGCACUUGGGAGUAGUCAGCCUGAAAGGUGAGAAGCCAGGAGAGGGGUCCCCAGCUUAUGGCCUGGGAGCUAACUCAGAUUUGGCGAGUGCAGGUUUUGUGGAAUGGUGGUGUAUUAGUCCGUUUUCACGGUGCUAAUAAAGACACACCCGACACUGGGCAAUUUACAAAAGACAGAGGUUUAGUGACUUACAGUUCCACAUGGCUGGGGAGGCCUCACAAUCAUGGUGGAAGGCAAGGAGGAGCAAGUCACAUCUUACGUGGAUGGCGGCAGGCAAAGAGCGAGAUUGGGCAGGGAAACUCCCCCUAAUAUGAUACUGUCAGAUCUCGUGAGACUUACUCACUAUCACGAGAACAGCAUGGGAAAGACCUGCCCCAUGAUUCAAUUACCUCCCACCGGGUCCCUCCCACAGCAUGUGCAAAUUCAAGAUGAGAUAUGGGUGGGGACAAAAGACAGGCAGGAGUUCCGAGGAUGAGUAUUUGCAUUCUGUCCCUGAGUUUGCUGUAAAGGAGAGCAGCGAGACAGAGGCAUGGGGUGCGGAAUGGCGUGUUUAAGAUGGAGUGAUGACAGGUGCCCGUUGGAGUGAUGCAGUAGACAGGAUCUGAUGAUGGGGAGCAGGUGUCGUGUGCCCUUGAGCAGGAGCCCAGCAGAGAGACCCUUUUUCCUCCUGUAGCAGCAGAAGAGAAGGCAGCAGGGUGCAGGACUGAAGGAGGGCUGGGCUGGGCUGGGAUGGGAGCCUGGCUGGUUUUCCCCUGGUGGCCCUAUGACUGGUUAAGGGCAGGGCAGAGGCACGGCAGGUUGGAGGCACAGAAGGCCCAAGAUAGUUAUCUGGGCUGGAUGUGGGGCGGUAUUCUCGCCUCUCUGGGGACAUCCCUUAAGUGGACAGGAAGACUGGGUGGUUCAGGUGUAUGUCCACUCACCAAGAACACAGGAUGAAGGUGGGGCCUAGACAGUGGCUGUUUUGACCAGGGCAGAACAGUUGAGGGCAUGUGAGAGGGCCCAUGCUGACGCCAGACCUCAGUGGGGAGAGGGGAGAGUCCAGGGACCAGAGGUCCCCCUAGGCUUAAAGGACAAACCACAAGGAGAAGAGGAAGAAGUCUCUAUGUCAUUAAAGUUUCAUUAUCAGGGCUGCUAUAAUGCUUCUCAUUGCUUAUUAUAAAACCCAAUUCUGCAAGACCAGCCUAGCCAACAUGGUGAAACUCUGUCUACUAAAAAUACAAAAAUUAGCUGGGCGUGGUGGCAUGUGCCUGUAAUCUCAGCUACUCAGGAGGCUGAGGCAGGAGAAUUGCUUAAACCUGGGAGGCAGAGGUUGCAGUGAGCCAAGAUCGUGCCACUGUACUCCAGCCUGGGAGACAGAGGGAGACUCCAUCUCAAAAACGAAACAAAACAAAAAAAAAAACUAAUUCUGGCCCAGCGUGGUAGUUCACACCUGUAAUCUCAGCACUUUGGGAGGCCAAGGCAGAAGGAUCGCUUGAGCGCAGGAGUUCAAGACCAUUCUGGGCAACAAAAUAAGACCCCACCUCUACAAAAAAUAAAAAAAAUAGAAGGAAGCAAUAGUGUGCACCUGGGGUCCCAGCUACUCAGGAGGCUGAGGUAGGAGGAUCACUUGAGCCCAGAAGGUCGAGGCUACAGUGAGCCGGGAUUGUGCCACUGUACUUCAGCCUGGGUGACAAAACAAGACCCUCUGACUCAAAAAAAAGAAAAAGAGAAAAAUAUUUUUGUUAGAGCAAAACAGGCUGACCUUUUUUUCGGGUUUUUUUUGGUUUGUUUUUGUUUUUUUGAGAUGGAGUCUCGCUCUGUCGCCCAGGCUGGAGUGCAGUGGCACGAUUUCGGCUCACUGCAAGCUCUGCCUCCCGAGUUCACGCCAUUCUCCUGCCUCAGCCUCCCAAGUAGCUGGGACUACAGGCGCCCACCACCACGCCCGGCUAAUUUUUUGUAUUUUUAGUAGAGACGGGGUUUCACCGUGUUAGCAGGAUGGUCUCGAUCUCCUGACCUCGUGAUCCACCCGUCUUGGCCUCCCAAAGUGCUAGGAUUACAGGCAUGAGCCACUGCGCCCAGCCCUUUUUUUCGUUUUUAAUGUUGAGACUAGGUUACAGCAUUAUUAGAUACAAUGAAGGUAGAGGGAAGGUGCUCAGAACUCUCCUACAAGCAUAGCAGCUGCUCAGGCACAGCUCCAGUGACUCCAGGGCCCAGCCUUCUGGGGAGGAGUUGGAUGGGCAUAUUCCUUGAGGGGCUCCCACCUGCCCACAGAGAGCACAAGAGGAGAACUCAUCCUGUUUGCCCUGCUUUUCCCAUCUUGUUCCUAGACAUCCUGAGGUUCCCACCAAGUGGACAUUGGCUUAUUCUACAAGCAACAGGAUGAGGCCCCUGGACUCCUCACUAGCAAAAUAGUGCAGUGACAGCAACACCCCCCCCCACACACACACACACAAAGAUGUCCACAUCUUAAUUCCUGGAACCUGUGAAUGUGUGACCUUACCUGGUGUCUUAGUUCAUUUGUGCCACUGUAACAAAAUACCACAGACUGGGUAAUUUAUAAACAAUAUAAAUUUGUUUCUCAUGGUUCUGAAGGCUGGGAAGUCCAAGAUCAAGGCACUGGCAUGUCCUGUGUCUGGUGAGAGCACUUCGUUACUGUUUCCUCUGGAGGGAAGAAUGCUGUGUCCUCACAAGGUGGGAUGGACAGAGGGGCAAGAAAAGGCCAAACUCCACAGGAAGCCUCUUUUAUAAGAGGAGCCCUCGUGACCUAGUCCGAAAUGGCCCCACCUCUUCUUUCACCACAAUGGGGACCAAGUUUGUUGUUAGUUAACCUAAAUGACAGAGGAGCUCUCUAAAGAGAUAUUUAUUCAGGAAUAGGGCCUUGCAACGGGAACACGUAUAUUACGGUAACUGCAUGUUCAAGGAAGACAAAAGUUUUAAAGGAAGAAAGGAAGAUUACAUAAUCAUUUUGAAAUGAUACUCUUGACUGCAAAGAUUAAUAGCAAGGGAGACACCGGUCCAAGUUUGGAAGGUAGCUGCUGGGCAGGUAUCCUUGCAGAAGUAUUUUCUUGUGUAAGAUUUCAGCGGCCUUGGCCAGGUGUGGUGGCUCACGCCUAUAAUCCUAGUAGUUUGGGAGGCUGAGGUGGGUUAAUCACUUGAAGUCAGGAGUUCAAGACCAGCCUGGCUAACAUAGUGAAACUCUGUCUUCACUAAAAAUACAAAAAUUAGCCGGGCAUGGUGAUGCAUACCUCUAAUCCCAGCUACUCAGGAGGCUGAGGCAGGAGAAUCACUUGAACCCGGGAGGCAGAGGUUGCAGUAAGCCAAGAUUGCACCACUGCACUCCAGCCUGGGCGACAGAGCAAGACUUGGGCUCAAAAAAAAAAAAAAAAAAUUCAAUGGCCUUUGUGCAAGGUUGUGGGUUUUGUGGUCUUUUGUGAUAGUUUUUGUUAUCGGGCAUAUGGACCCUCUCUUCAUGGCCUUCCCUAGCUCUAUUUGUUAGGGUUUUCUUAACAUUAGUCACUCUGUUUUGAUUCUGACAACUUUCAGUUUCAACAUGAAUUUUGGAGGGGAUGCCAUCUUUUAAAUCAUCGUACCUGGUAAAAGGGACUUUGGAGAUGGGAUUAAGUGAAGGGCCUUCAGAUGGGGGGUUAUCCUGCGCUAUCCAGGUAGGUCCCAUAUAAUCACGAUCAUGAGAGGGAGGUAGGAGCUUCACAGUUGGACAGAAGAUGUGACCACAGAAGCAGGGGUCAGAGGAGGGAAGAUGCUGGCUUUGAAGGCAGAGGAAGGGGCCACAAGCCAAGGAAUGUGGAGACCCCUAGAAGCUGGAAAAGGCAGGGACAGAUUCUCCCCUACCCUAGAGCCUCCAGAAGGAGCCAGCCCUGCCAACACCUUGACUUUACCUCAGUGAGAUAAUUUAGACUUCUGACCUCAGAACUGUAAGAGAAUAAAUGCUUGUGUUUCGACCACUGAAUUUUUGGUAAUUUGCCAUAGCAGCUGCAGGAAACAUAUACACAUGGUGACUAGUUACUGAGUUCCUUCCCCAGACACACUCAGGAGCAUGUAACCACCACAGCCUCCUAGUGGAAGCACAGGUCCUGCAGAGAGGCCAUGCCUGUGCACCCCAGGAGCCAAGGCCACCCUCCUGCACAGGGCACCACCCCUUGCACCUGCACACUCCAGCCUCCACACAGCCCUUGGUCAGGGCUGGGUACACCAGGGAAUGUUUCAAAGUAAAGCAUCCCUUACUGUGGUCAUUCUCAGCACUUUUUUUCUGGAAAGACAGAUAUGACAGAAUAUGUUCAUGUGUGACAUGGGCCCAUGGGGGUGUUUGGGAUAGUUAUCAUAUCCAGCACACCGAGAAGGUUGAUAUUGAGAACUGGGACAGGAAAAAAUACCAUCUUUAUCAUCACUGGCCUUUAACCAAAAUUUAACAUUUUCCUGAAUUAUGAAUCUAGGCAACCAACUGCUGCAGCAGCAUCAGCAGUGUCCGGGACUCCACCUCCUACAGAAGUCGUGGAUGUCUCACAUCACAUCACCAUUGCUGCAGAUGCCACAGAAUACCAUUCUGCUCAUCAUUGCUCCAAAAUUACCAUAACUCCUGGACCAGCUGCUUGAUUACAUUAUUUAAUGCAUUCAUAAAGAGGCACAUGCAGUACUGUACCACCGUUUAAAAUUUGUGAUGAAAGUACUUUAAUUUCAUUUUUAAUUUUGUAGGCAUUAAAAGCAUUAUCUGAAUCUCAAAGAAAAGUCCAAGACCUGAUGGUUUCCUGGUGAAUUCUACCAAACGUGUAAAGAAGAACUAAUACGAGCCCUUCAUAAACAUUUCCAAAAAACUGAAGAGAAGGGAACACUUCUUAACGCAUUCUAUGAGGCCAGCAUUACCCUGGUACCAAAGCCAGACAUACACAUGACAAGAAAAGAAAACUACAGACCAAUAUUCCUUAUGAACACUGAUGCAAAAAACCUCAACAAAGUACUGGCAAACUUCAGCGGCAUAUUGAAAGGAUUAUACACUAUGACCAAGGAGAUUUAUUCCUGGAAUUCAAGGAUGGCUUAGUAUACAAAAAAAAAAAAAUCAGUGUACUACACUAUACUAACAGCAUGAAGGAAAAAACUACAUGAUCAUCUCAAUUGAUGCAGAAAAAGCAUUUGACAAAACAACACCCUUUCAUGAUAAAACCACUCAACAGAUUAGGACUGGAAGGCAACUACCUCAACAUAAUAGAAGCCAUUUAUGCAAAGCCCACAUCUAACACUGCUCAGUGAUGAAAGGCUGAAAACUUUUCCUGUAAAAUCAGGAAUAAGAGGCCGGGUGCGGUGGCUCACGCCUGUAAUCUCAGCACUUCGGGAGGCCAAGGCGAGUGGAUCAGCUGAAGUUGGGAGUUCAAGACCGGCCUAAGCAACGUGGAGAAACCAUGUCUCUACUAAAAAUAGAAAACUAGCCAGGCGUGGUGGUGUACACCUGUAAUCCCAGCUACUCCGGAGGCUGCGACAGGAGAAUCGCUUGAACCCAGGAGGCAGAGGUUGUGGUGAGCCAAGAUCGCACCAUUGCACUCCAGCCUGGGCAACAAGAGCAAUACUCCAUCUGAAAAAAAAUUAAAAUCAGGAAUAAGGCAAAAAUAUCCACUUUUGUCCCUUCUAUUAAGAUCUAGCCAGAGCAAUUAGGCAAGAAAAAUAAAAGACAUCCAAAUGGAAAAGGGAGAAGUAAAAUUAUCUCUGUUUACAGAUUAUAUGAUCCUAUAUGAAGAAAAUCCUAAAGAUUCCACAGAAGAUCUGUUAGAACUAGUGAAUGAAUUCAGCAAAGCAGUAGGAUGCAAAGAACAAUCUGAAAAGGAAAUUAUGAAAACAAUUCUAUGUACAAUAGCAUAAAAAGAAUAAAACAAGAUUAAGGCAGUGAAAGCUACAAAACAUUACUGAAAGAAAUUAAGACACAGAUAAAUGGAGAGACAUUUUGUGUUCAUGGGCUGGAAGACUUAAUAUGGUUAAGAUGUCAGUACUACCCAAAGCAAUCUACAGAUUUAAUGCAGUCCCUAUAAAAUCCCAAUGACAUUUUUUGCAGGAACAGAAAAACAUCUUAAAAUUCAUUUGGAAUCUCAAGGGACCCUGACUAGCCAAAACAGUCUGAAAAAGAACAAAGUUUAAGGACUUUCACUUCCUGAUCUCAAAACUUUCUACACAGCUAUAGUAAGCAAUGUGGCACUGGCAUAAAGACAGACAUAGAAACCAAUGGGAUAGAAUAGCGAGCCCAGAAACAAACCCUUGCAUACAUGGCCAGAUGAUUUUUUAAUAAGGGUGCCAAGACCAUUCAGUGGGGAAAGGACAGUCUUUUUCAGCAAAUGAUGCUGGGAAUACUAGAUAUCCACACACAGAAAAAUAAAGUUUGGCCCUUACCUUACCACAGAUAGAUUCAAAAUGGAUCCAAGACCUAAAUGUAAGAUCCAAAACUAUAAAAUUCUAAGAAGAAAAUAAAGGGCAAAGCCAGGCACAGUGGCUCGUGCCUGUAAUGCCAGCACUUUGGGAGGCUGAGAAAGGAGGACUCAUCCCCCGAGGCCGGGUGUGGUGGCUCACGCCUAUAAUCCCAGCACUUUGGGAGGCCGAGGCAGGUGGAUCACGAGGUCAAGAGAUCAAGACCAUCCUGGCCAAAGUGGUGAAACCCCAUCUCUACUAAAAAUACAAAAAUUGGCUGGGUGUGGUGGCAUGUGCUGGUAGUCCCAGCUACUCAGGAGGCUGAGGCAGGAGAAUCGCUUAAACCCAGGAGGUAGAUAGAGGUUGCAGUGAGCUGAGAUUGCACCACCGCACUGCAGCCUGGCAACAGCGAGACUCUGUCUCAAAAAAUAGGAGGACCUCUUGAGCCCAGGAGUUUGAAACCAACCUGGGCAACAGAGAGAGAGACCCUGUCUCUACAAUAAAUUUUAAAAUGAGCCAGGUGUGGUGCACACCUGUAGUCCCAGUUACUCAGGAGGCUGAGGUGGGAGGAUCACUUGAGUCCCGGAGUUUGAGGCUGCAGUGAGCCGUGAUUACACCACUGCACUCCAUCCUGGAUGACAGAGCAAGACCCUGUAGCAAAAAAAAAGAAAAAGAAAAAUAUAGGGCAAAAGCUUCGUAACACUGAAUUUGGCGAUGAUUUCUUGGAUAUGACACCAAAGGCCCAGGCAACAAAAGAAAAGAUAAAUUGGACAUCAUGAAAAUCAAAACAUUGCUUUCAUUAAAAGACACUGUCAGCAGAAGCUGGGCAUGGUGGCUCAUGCCUGUAAUCCUAGCACUUUGGGAGGCCGAGGCUGGUGGAUCACUUGACCUCAGGAGUUGGAGACCAGCCUGGGCAACAUGGUGAAACCCCAUCUCUACAAAAAAACACAAAAAUUAGCCAGGCAUGGUGGCUCAUUCCUAUAGUCCCAGCUGCUUGCAGAGCUGAGGCAAGAGGAUCGCUUGAGCCCAGGAGGCAGAGGUUGCAGUGAGCCGAGAUUGUGCUACUGCACUCCAGCCUGGGUGACAGAGUGAGACUGUCUCAAAAAAAAAACAAAACAAAAGAGUAGAAAGACAACCUACAAAAUGGGAGAAAAUAUUUGCAAAUAUUGUAUCUGAAAAGGGAUUAAUAUCCAAGACUCCUAAAACUCAAAAAUAGAAAACCAAACAACGUGGUUAAAAAAUGAGCAACAGACUUGCAUAGACGCUUCUCCAAAAAAGAUACACAGAUGGCCAAGAAGCACAUGAAAAGAUGCUCAACAUCACUAGUCAGUAGGGAAAUGCAAACCAAAAACCACGAGAGACCCCCUCCCAGCCACUGGAAUGGCUGCUACCAAAAAACUAGAAAAUAGCAAGUACCAGGGAGGAUGUAGAGAAACGAGAAGCCCUGUGCACUGUUGCUGGGAAUGUAAAAUGGUGCAGCCACUGUGAAAAACAGCAUGGAAGUUCCUCAGACAAUUAAACAGAAUUACCAUGGGACCCUGUAAUUGAAAGCAGGGUCUCCAAGGGGUGUUUGGACACCCCAGUUCACGGCAGCUUAUUCCACUUGGGUGGAAACAGCUGAAGUGUCUGUGGACAGAUGGAUAAGGAAAAUGCGGCCUCACCACACAAGAAAAUACUACUCAGCCCUAAAAAGGAAGAAAACUCUGACCCACACUACAAUACGGAUGAGCCUUGAGAACAUUAUGCAGAGUGAAAUGAGCCAGUCAUGAAAGGACACAUCCUGUAGUCCCACUCAUUGGCAGUCCCCAGAGUCAUCAGAUUCAUAGAGACAAGAAGUAGAAAGCCCGUGGCAACCACCCAUCUUUGUGUCUCUGUGGAUUCGCCUGUUGUGGACAUUUCAUAGAAAUGGAAUCAAGACAACAUGUGGACCUUCAUGCCUGGCUUGUCCUGCUCAGCAUGAUGCCUUCAAGGUUCACGCGUGUCGCUGCGUCAGGGCUCACCUCCUCGUGUGCCGAACACCCCAUUGUCUGGGUGACCACAUGUUGCCCCCCUACUCCUCCA
RNAcentral lists this long non-coding RNA (10140 nucleotides) under Homo sapiens (human). Its description in RNAcentral is "non-protein coding lnc-KCNT1-1:9". Lineage: Eukaryota; Metazoa; Chordata; Mammalia; Primates; Hominidae. The record is from RNAcentral.